This 539-nucleotide unclassified non-coding RNA is filed under the name Hevea brasiliensis (rubber tree). Lineage: Eukaryota; Viridiplantae; Streptophyta; Magnoliopsida; Malpighiales; Euphorbiaceae. The record is from RNAcentral.
CAAUUUGUUGUCCAAGCAAGGAUGAAUUUAAGAACUAUUUUUUUCUUGUUUCUUGGGUUUGCGAUGGCAAAAUUCUAAGUAAUAUUAUAAAUGACUUUAUUUUGGAAAAUUUUUCGUUGUGGUAUGGAGAAAAUUUCUUUCAACCAGCUGCAGUUUUGCAACUUUGUUACUGUGCCUCUAUCACAUUCUUAAUUUGUCCCUUCUAUGUAGAAGCAAAAGACAAUCAACUCUAAGUUAAUUUACUUUUCGAAAUGUUUUUGAAAUCCCAUAAACCAAUUCAAUUGCUAUUUCUUGUGAUAUUCUUGACCAUAUGUUGGAGGUGAAAUAAUGAUGCCCUUGAUUACUUACUGCAGCUUAACUCAAAAAGUUUAUCAAUUGACUUCAAAUACUUAGACUGAGAAAGCCUAUAGAUACAAGGCUUAAUUGGUCAAAUGGUUAAGUGCUAGUCAUUCUUGGUUGGAUAUUAAUUUUGCUUUUCUCAAUUUCUGACUUUCCUUUUUCUCUCUAGUCUGUACAGAACAAUUUCCCAAAAUCUACUU